RNAcentral lists this ribosomal RNA (491 nucleotides) under uncultured bacterium. Its description in RNAcentral is "partial 16S ribosomal RNA". It matches the Rfam family "Bacterial small subunit ribosomal RNA", at positions 29 to 507 of the family's 1533-position model. The record is from RNAcentral.
GUGAACGCUGGCGGUAGGCCUAACACAUGCAAGUCGAACGGCAGCACAGUAAGAGCUUGCUCUUACGGGUGGCGAGUGGCGGACGGGUGAGGAAUACAUCGGAAUCUACUUUUUCGUGGGGGAUAACGUAGGGAAACUUACGCUAAUACCGCAUACGACCUACGGGUGAAAGCAGGGGAUCUUCGGACCUUGGGCGAUUGAAUGAGCCGAUGUCGGAUUAGCUAGUUGGCGGGGUAAAGGCCCACCAAGGCGACGAUCCGUAGCUGGUCUGAGAGGAUGAUCAGCCACACUGGAACUGAGACACGGUCCAGACUCCUACGGGAGGCAGCAGUGGGGAAUAUUGGACAAUGGGCGCAAGCCUGAUCCAGCCAUACCGCGUGGGUGAAGAAGGCCUUCGGGUUGUAAAGCCCUUUUGUUGGGAAAGAAAAGCAGCAGGUUAAUACCCCGCUGUUCUGACGGUACCCAAAGAAUAAGCACCGGCUAACUUCGUG